This is a long non-coding RNA of Dendronephthya gigantea, 561 nucleotides long. RefSeq lists it as uncharacterized. Lineage: Eukaryota; Metazoa; Cnidaria; Anthozoa; Malacalcyonacea; Nephtheidae. The transcript is spliced from 3 exons. The record is from RefSeq and is a predicted model, not a curated record.
CUGUUUCAGGAAAUUGCAAAUAUUUUUGAUAAAAACAAUUGGAAUUCUGUUCUGGUAGUUGACAGUGAACCAAAUGAAAAUCUUCGGCAUGCCGUUGAAUCUUUUGGGAAAGCAGAAAUGCACAACACAAUUAGUCUGAAUGUUUACAGCAUUCUUAAUCAUGAUAAAAUUGUUCUGUCACUAAAUGCUAUUGAACAAUUGGAAGAGCGACUAUGUAAAGAUAAUCGACCUAUUUGGAGAUGACAUCGUUACAAAUAUUUUGUCUGUCAACUGUUGUUAAAAAACAUUGCCCCGAAUGAGAAUUUCCACGGAAAGAACUUACUUCUGUAAGAGGAGCCGGUAAAUGGCUGUAAUCCAGCAAUUUGAGAGUGUCUCUGCUUUUAUGAUGACAUGAAAGAAUCUACUUGUAAAACGUUAAUGAUUUGUAAUAUUAUAAUUUGUUGUUGCUCUUCAGCAUAUUAAUGUUACCACUGAAGUAGCAAUACAUAACCUGUUGUGACUCGUGAUACUUCAAUUACUUAACUAAAUCAAGUAUAUGGGAGGUAAUAUUGGUACAAGAAA